RNAcentral lists this ribosomal RNA (304 nucleotides) under uncultured temperate forest soil bacterium C6015. Its description in RNAcentral is "bacterial SSU rRNA". It matches the Rfam family "Bacterial small subunit ribosomal RNA", at positions 353 to 674 of the family's 1533-position model. Lineage: Bacteria; Pseudomonadati; Acidobacteriota. The record is from RNAcentral.
AGUGGGGAAUCUUGCACAAUGGGGAAACCCUUGAUGCAGCGACGCCGCGUGAGCGAUCAAGCCCUUCGGGGUGUAAAGCUCUUUCGGCAGGGAAGAUUAUGACGGUGCCUGCAGAAGCAGCUGCGGCUAACUACGUGCCAGCAGCCGCGGUAAUACGUAGGCAGCAAGCGUUGUUCGGAGUUACUGGGCGUAAAGGGUGCGUAGGCGGUGCGGUAAGUCUCUUGUGAAAUCUCCAGGCUCAACCUGGAGCCUGCAAGGGAAACUGCCGUGCUUGAGUGUGGGAGAGGUGAGUGGAAUUCCCGGU